This is a long non-coding RNA of Drosophila santomea, 336 nucleotides long. RefSeq lists it as uncharacterized. NCBI's taxonomy places the organism in Eukaryota, Metazoa, Arthropoda, Insecta, Diptera, Drosophilidae. The transcript has 3 exons. The record is from RefSeq and is a predicted model, not a curated record.
AUAAGCAUAGCCAAAAGUUUUUAUUUUGAAUCGACAACAGAGUCCCCUGCAAUAUAUGCAACAAACCCACCAAAACGAGCGGCAAUUCGUCAAAUCUUUUGUCGGACUUCAAAAAAAAACAUCAAGAUGCGUAUUUUAAUAAUGUAAUAAUUAAAAGCGCCGAUGUAUACUGCUGUAAGAAUGAAACAGCCCAGCAGCUGUGGACAUGCUACGUAAGUUGCAGGAAGAUGAUGGCAUAUCAGAUGGUCGGAUUAAGACACUGGUGCAAAGUGAUGAGAAAUGAUGAAAUUCUUGUCUAGAUAUGAUAACAUGAUUUCUAAGUCUAUCAAAUAAAAU